Molecule: ribosomal RNA, 440 nt
Filed under: uncultured bacterium
Lineage: Bacteria
Description: partial 16S ribosomal RNA
Rfam family: Bacterial small subunit ribosomal RNA
Source: RNAcentral
CCUACGGGCGGCAGCAGUGGGGAAUAUUCCACAAUGGGGGAAACCCUGAUGCAGCAACGCCGCGUGAGUGAAGAAGUAUUUCGGUUCGUAAAGCUCUAUCAGCAGUGAAGAAGAUUACGGUUCGUGACUAACAUUUCUCUGCUAACUACUAGCCAGCAGCCGCGGUAAGACUUAGGGGGCAAGCGUGAUCCGGAUUUACUGGGUGUAAAGGGAGCGCAGACGGUUAGACAAGUCUGAAGUGAAAGCCCGGGGCUCAACCCCGGGACUGCAUUGGAAACUGCCUGACUGGAGUGCUGAAGAGGAGAGCGGAAUUCCAAGUGUAGCGGUGGAAUGCGUAGAUAUAAGGAAGAACACCAGUGGCGAAGGCGGCUUGCUGGACAGUAACUGACGUUGAGGCUCGAAAGCAUGGGGAGCAAACAGGAUUAGAUACCCGUGUAGUC